CGGAUAAUAGCGAUUGGAAAAUUUAACCGAAUUGCCGGAUAGUAUUUACGCCGGCCGCGGCUAUUUUAUUUCCGUGUCUUUCGAUGCGCGCGUCGCCGGGAUAUUUUGCUGGCGUAAAGUUUACGCGGCCCGGCUCCUGCUUCGGCCAGUACAAUCUACGAAGUGGUGCUGAAAACUGACGAACCUGCAAUUUGUCCCGCGUAAUUGCCCGUGGCCCGUCAACGAACGAAGCCCGGGCCCUCCCCCGGUCGAUGACCCUAAAGCGGUCCUGCGAAACCGGCGCGCGAGGUUGUUCGUGAUGUACAUAUACAAUUUUAUAUUCGUGCGUGUCAUCAUUCGAUACUUUUCCGUGACUGUUCUAUGUGUAAACCGAAUAGCCGGGAAAAAGUAUUCAGGCCGGUGCACGUAUUUUAUGUUAUUUUUCCUUCGUAUUGCCCGUCGCGGCGAUAAUAUUUCCGUAUCUUUCGAUACGUUUGCCGCGCGUCGUAGCCCGCCAACGUACGGGUCCCCUGUCCCGGUCAGUAUAUUAUACGGAAUGGUGCUGAAAAACGGCGUACCUACCUAAUAUAAUGUUUGCAAUGACAAAAAAGAAAAAUACAAAUGUGUAAUAGGUACGACCACAAUUCCGUAACGGUGUACUGCACUACUGCUUGAUAUUUGGUAUACGGUAUACGGAAAAAAAAAACCAAAAUAUUAUAAUCAUAUAAAUAAAUAUAAUUAUCAGUCUGUUUGCUGUGUUAACAAUGUGUAUGUUAUGAAAUUUAAAAUGCUAAAAUUUUUUAAUUGAAAAAAAAAAUGAACAAUAAAUAGUUCAAGCUUUGUGCUCAACAAUUGUUGUAGCAUGGACAUUCUAUAAUUCUAACAGGAAUGAAGGUGGAUUAUUUUGAAAAACUGCACCACAAUCGUUGUUACACUGGAUUCGGCUUUAUGUGCUGUUGACAAUAAGUUUAAUCUAGUAAUUGUUCAACAUCAGAGGAGAUACAAUUUUAUGUAAAUAUGCCAUACCUUCCUUUACAUCUUCAACUGGUAAAAGUGCACAGUCCAUUUUUCCACAAAACUAUACUUGUUAGCAUAUAUUCAUGUGUUGUCGACGUCGUUUUAUUUUGUAGAAAACAGUACACGGUAAUCUUACAAAUGCUAUUGACUCUUCUACCUGUAUUACAUAGAGUUGUUGGAAUUGUCUUUGAGAAAGUGAAAAAUUACCACCUUAAAGUACCUGCUAAAUGUUUUAAACCUUUCUCAGUAACAAACAUAAUGACUCGUUCAGAUGCCUUCAGUUUCAUUGACAGAUAGUAGAAGUAUUUGCCUAUAGUGAGAGUGGCCAGUUGUACUUCACUUACCUAGAAAUUCACAUUCUUUUAUUGUUUUUGGAUCCAAUGGAUUUUUGAUUGCACGUAAGUUCCUUAUAGUAAACUGUUCCCUAAAGUAACAUUCUGGCUCUAAUGUUAUUAUCAAUUUCAGAUAUUUCUUGGGCAUAAAUCUGAGAUGGAUUCACACUCGAAUGAGCAGUUUUGAUUUUUAUUUUAGCAAUUACUUUAGUCACUUCUACUUGGGAUGGUGUUUAGCUAGAUGCUCAUGAGGCAUUGUAACCAUAUGUUCGGUUUUAAAAAUUAGACAAUUAAAUUAACUUUUUUAAUAUACGUUUCUAAGUGUAAUACUGUUUUCUGGGAUGUUUUAAAGUAUUAUGAUUAUUAAUAUUGUUAAUUAAUUCAAAAAGAUAAUGGACCCCACUGAACAGGUUCGUGUAAGGGUCCACAAAUUCACAACUUGUAAUAAGAAAAAUAUAACAUUCAGAUAAUGAUUUUAAUUUUUUUUUUUUUUUUACAAUUUUAGACUUAUGCAACUAACUUAAACUUAAAUAAUGUAAAUAACAAUAAUUAAUAUAUGGAGACUUAAUGUAUAAUAUGGUUUGAUAAUAUACAAAAGGAAGCAACUAGCC
Molecule: long non-coding RNA, 1939 nt
Filed under: Cinara cedri
Lineage: Eukaryota; Metazoa; Arthropoda; Insecta; Hemiptera; Aphididae
Source: RNAcentral